UAAGGAAUAUUGGUCAAUGGACGCAAGUCUGAACCAGCCAUGCCGCGUGAAGGAUGAAGGUCCUCUGGAUUGUAAACUUCUUUUAUAUGGGACGAAACCCUCGGAUUCCUCCGGGAUUGACGGUACCAUAGGAAUAAGCACCGGCUAACUCCGUGCCAGCAGCCGCGGUAAUACGGAGGGUGCAAGCGUUAUCCGGAUUCACUGGGUUUAAAGGGUGCGUAGGAGGGCAGGUAAGUCAGUGGUGAAAUCCCCAAGCUUAACUUGGGAACUGCCGUUGAUACUAUCUGUCUUGAAUACCGUGGAGGUGAGCGGAAUAUGUCAUGUAGCGGUGAAAUGCUUAGAUAUGACAUAGAACACCAAUUGCGAAGGCAGCUCGCUACACGAAUAUUGACUCUGAGGCACGAAAGCGUGGGGAUCAAACA
RNAcentral lists this ribosomal RNA (422 nucleotides) under uncultured Flavisolibacter sp. RNAcentral's name for it is "bacterial SSU rRNA". It matches the Rfam family "Bacterial small subunit ribosomal RNA", at positions 355 to 774 of the family's 1533-position model. The record is from RNAcentral. Lineage: Bacteria; Pseudomonadati; Bacteroidota; Chitinophagia; Chitinophagales; Chitinophagaceae.